Molecule: non-coding RNA, 93 nt
Organism: Synergistales bacterium 54_9
Lineage: Bacteria; Thermotogati; Synergistota; Synergistia; Synergistales
Source: Rfam
GGAGGCGCAUGGUGACUGGUGUUGCCCGCGGGCUUCAAACCCGUCGAGGGUCUGUAAGGCAGGCCUUGGUGGGUUCGAUUCCCACACGCCUCC